GCCUCUAAAAAAUCAAUGAGUCCAGCCGGCGAGGAGAGUUGUGCCAGCGCAAUCCCUUCGAGUCGUAUCGGAGACGUGCUCGGCGUGUCCCUUAGGAACUUAGCACUUUUACCUUUUAAAUUUCUCUAUUAUCUCAACAAAAAAGAUGUAACAACAUCGAAUUGCGAAAUGCCGGGUCAGGAAGACAUGGAUCUUUGCACCGACAAAGUCCUAUCCAAGAGUAGAAUUCUUCAAGAAUUAACAAAAGCCGUCAAAUUGGUAUACGCUCAGAGUCUGUAUGGUACCGUGGUCUUGGAUGGAGAAUCCUGGCUUGUUUAUUGGCUAGAUCGAGCACUGAGACAUGGUUUACGCACAGAAAGACACGGAUACUGGGGUACGGCAAGAGAACUAAGUCAUCAGGAUACUGUUGUAGUGAUACAUGCGCUCCAAAAUGUACUAACUUCCAUAGGAAAAGGUAGAGCAUGGUUAUAUCAUACCCUCAGCGAAGGCAGCUUUGAAAGUUAUUUAGCCUGCUUACUACGGGAUACUAAAACCUUAAAGAAACAGUACCAUACACAUGCACUUGUUCGUGAUGCAGAUAAGACAAACCAACUUGUAAAUCUCCUUGCUGGAUUAGAAAAUGUCUCCUUCACUUUACAACUAGAUGUGACAUAUUUGGAUUUUUGCAAUUAUAUGCCACAAAGGCCUAUGAGCAUAAACUCUUCUGGAACUGUAUUAUCUUUACAUCUAAGAUCUUCUAGUGUAUGCUCGAGCUUAGCCUCUCCCGGAGAUAGUGGUGUUGCAUUCGAUAGUGACAUGGACCUAGCGAAUGAAACUGAUGCCAGCAGUUAUAAAGAAGAAGAUUCUUCUAUGGAUGAUAUCCCAGAUUAUCGAAAUAACAGAUACAAAGUUAUUAUUAACAACUGUAUACAAGAGAACAAGAAUUUUAGCUCGAGUGAUUCUAGCGAGGAUGGAAAAACACCAAUGCAGUCUCCUGCAGUUAGCAAAUUUCAAAAUGUGAUUAUGACAAAGAGCGACAUAGCUAAUCAAAAUUUAACUAGAAAACUCGAAGAUAACGAACUCAACUGUUCGAGUUUGGACACUUUGAAAGGCUACGAUUUUUACAGCAGAAGUCUUGAUACGGUUCACUUGGAUGCUGUUAAUAAUAAAUGCGAUAAUGGAAUCAAAGAAAUAAAUAAAAGGAGCAGCUAUUACGGGGACGGCAGUUAUAGUUUCAAGAAGAACAUAGAUCCUCGUAAUUCUUAUGUGAUUAAUAAUGAUACUAAUCUCUUGGAAUUGAGCAUGACCAUUUCUGAUUGUGAUAAUAUAGAGCCUCCUUAUGGUAUUUUGAACACACUUAGUAUGGCAGAUGCUAGCAUUCUGUCAACUUCUAGUUCUGAAGCCAUAGUACAACGUAGACAACGUAAGAAGAAACGUGGUGAAAGCAAAAAACGUGUUAGUUUUCACGAAGAUAUUCUAAAAUCAAUUAAAUUAGAUGAAGACGAAAGCUUUGCUGAUUUCUCCAUGAGCUUUCUAACGCCGAACUCGAUUCAAAAGAAGGAUGCUCAGAAGGGACGUUACAGUUGGUGCGGCCACGGAGAUUCUCCUUAUGUUCAGAAAAGUACCAAUACAAGAAACGCGCAUUCUGAUUAUUAUUCUUUUUCGUCUUCAUCGAGCGUAUUCGACAGUGAUCUUGAGAAAAAAGGAGUAGAAAAGUUGUGCAACCAAACCUUGUGCCAGAAAAAUUGUAAAUGUUCUUGUGGUCUAUCUUUACCAGAACGUGGUUCACCGGAAGGACAAGAGGAUCCUGCUAAAAGUUUAAGACCAAAAAUGGAGAUAGAAUUAGAAGAGAACGAAGCACAAGAAGCAUAUAUCAUUGAAAAACAAUACGGCAAUAUUGUCGAAGAUCCACCAGUAAAAGUAGAAAUGCCAAGACCGUUAAACAUUAAGAAAUAUGCCAGUUCUAGUGAUUGGUCCGAUGUAGAGAGCGUUACAACUUCCGAUUUAGAAGAACGUAAGAUUAAUAGGCACUUAGCUUCGCCAUCUAAAAAACGUAACAUGACCUCGAUAUUAACGGGUGAAAGUAGCAAUAAAUUAUUGGCACCUCCUUUACGACAAGCACCAUCUAAAACGUCAUUGUUGAGUAGAUUUUUGAGAUCUAUUACGGAAAGAAAAUUUGAAAAUAAGAAAACAAUAAAGCAACAGAAGGCUAAUCCCUUAUAUAUCAAGGGAGUCAAAGCUAAUUAUGAUUCCUUCAAAGAUUUUAAUGAUAAUCUUGAGAGAGAAAUACAAGAGAAUGUUGCUGCAGAAAAACAAGAAUUUAGCGGAGAGAAAAUAAGCCUAAAAUUGCGAGAAACCUUUAAGAAACAUAUUUACAGAGACAAGACAGAAGAAUUGUAUAAAGUUUAUAAAGUUAGAAGUUCAUACAUGACAAAUGGAGAAAGCAAGCCUAUGAUCGCGUUACUAACAGAUAAAACAUUAUAUUUAACUGGCUCAAAAAUGGAUCAUUCGUACAGUAAUCAAUUCGUAAUUCCUUACAACGAGCUAGAUGUUAUAAUGAUUGGACCAAAUGCACAAACGAUUUUAAUCUCCAACGCUGAUUAUGAGAUGCAGUAUUUAUUUUCUACUGGCAAUUCACAAACCACUUCUGAAUUAAUUACACACUUGGAAAUAGCUAUGAGAAGAUCACCAUCAAAACCUCAAUUGCCAGCUGUAAAAGAACUAAGUUACGAAGACAUGCAUAAUUUGAAGCAAUCGAUAUUAUCCGAUACUGCUGUACAUCCUGAUGAAAAAAUAGAACAUUACAGUCUUAUUUAUAUGGAGGAUGAACACAUGUCUCCUCCAAGUACACCAUGUGGACCUACCAAGGAAGGAGAUCUUAUGUUUAGACCUCAUACUUAUCAGCAAAUACAUCCCAAUGCACCAAUAAAUCCUUGGGAAGCUGGAUAUUUUGUUCUUAAAGGCGGUGUAGUUUACAUGUUUACAGAUUCAAAUCAACGCCUUCCUAAACGUGCCAUUCCAUUAAAAGGUGGCCUGUGUCAAGGUUGCAGAAGAAUUCCCAACUCACAUAGACCGCAUACAUUUGAAAUACUUUUGAAACCAAACAAAGCGUUUCAAUUUGCUGCACCAGAUGAAUAUGUUGCUUCUGAAUGGUUGCAAAGUUUUGUCCAGAGUGCAUCUGGUUUAUUUGAUUGUUCAGAUAAGAGGGAGCCUAUGCCUUGUAGUCUUAUCACGACUACCAGACAUUUAGUUGCUAUGAAAGAAGUAUAUCCAGGUACUCAACGCAAUCAAACAUUAUCCUGUGCUUCUGUGGAAGAUUUAACAGCAUUCAGAGUACCCUUACCUGAACAAUCUUGGUGUAUAUUGGAAUUCGCAUGCCGGGAGGUUCACGAAAGUAGCGGUGAUUGGGUUAUAUAUUUUACUAAUUAUACAGAGCUCUGUACCUUUAGAGAGAUAUUACAAACAUUAUGGGCCGAUGCGGAUUUGGGUGAAUUUCCUAUGGUUACGCUUCCUCCAGAAGAUAAACUUCAUCGACGCUGUUCGGAUGCUAGUAAAGAUUUAGAAUAUGCUUGGCAAUAUUUAUUACCGUCAACAGUCGAAUAAACAGUAAAGUGUAUCAAUAGACACACGAUAGAAAUACCUUUAAAAACAAAUAUUUUACUUUAACUCCUGAUAAAGAAAAAAAAAAACAAAGAAUUGCAUAUUGAUAACCUACAAGGUAAUAUCGAAAAAAUCGAAAAUAAUGAAUUUUACUUUUAAUGGUAUAAUACACUACACGUUUAAGUGUUAUGUUACUAAGAAGUAGCAUACUAUACUGAAAUUACAACGUACAUGUUAUAUUUUAGUUUUAAAUUAAAUUGAAAAUUUGAGUAAUGUAUUAAAUGUUUAGGUUGCCUGAUUUUAACUUAGUAAUUUUAAAUGAUAUUAAUUAAUUGUGCCACGUGCACAAAGUGGUGCAAUUUAUUGUCUCUUAGUAUAAAUUUUCCUAAUUAUUUACUAGUAAUUUAUAUUGGUAUGUGAAUUGUAAUAUAUUGGCAAUUGUGAAGGAUUGUGUUAAAUCACAUGUAUGAGUGUCUAUGUACUCACAUUUAUCUAAGAAAAUAGGAUAAUGAAUAUGCACUAACUGCAAUGAAAAUUAAUUAUCUUUGAGAAAAUGUUCUCUAAACAAAAAAGGGAACAGAAAUUAUAAGCUUAAAUUAAAUUUGCAAAAAUUAAUCUAAUACUCUGUAUACCGCUUGAUAUACGAUGAGUAUAUAACGAAUGAUUAACAUUCCUAAUACAGGUUAUAAUUUUCCACGAAGAUUGCUUGAAACAUUUAAAAAUGUAAAGGUUACGUAUAUGAUCUCAAACAUAAGAUUUAAAUGCUUUACGUUAACGCUAUUGGAUUAAAUGGUUUAAGAAAGAGACUUCACGAAUCAUUAUGGAGCUGUAAUGGUCAAAUCUUGUGAAGUAUCGUGGCAAGACAAAUAAUAAAACAGUUGUAUAUUAU
This 4468-nucleotide unclassified non-coding RNA is filed under the name Polistes dominula (European paper wasp). RNAcentral describes it as "pleckstrin homology domain-containing family M member 2, transcript variant X1". Lineage: Eukaryota; Metazoa; Arthropoda; Insecta; Hymenoptera; Vespidae. The record is from RNAcentral.